This is a non-coding RNA of Vicia faba (fava bean), 279 nucleotides long. NCBI's taxonomy places the organism in Eukaryota, Viridiplantae, Streptophyta, Magnoliopsida, Fabales, Fabaceae. The record is from the annotation of a GenBank genome assembly.
AUGGAACAAGAGAUUGAAAAUAUGAUACUUAACAUGGGUUCACUUGGAACCAAUUUUUCGCAAAAGAGAGGAUUAUCAAGGCAUUACUCAGGGAAGGCAAGAUCAUUUGUUUGUAUGGAAGAUGUUCAUUUCUUGGAAGAUUUGAAGAAACCAAAACAUCCUGAUGCAAAGAAGAGAAAGAAACAAUCUUAUAAGAAGGAAUUUAUCAAUGUUAAUCCACAUCCUUGUCGAAGAGUACCUAGUUGCACUCAAUUAACUACCCCUUAUGUCAAUGCUUAG